UGAUUUCGGUGACUUCUUCCUUAGGUCC
This 28-nucleotide small RNA is filed under the name Bombyx mori (domestic silkworm). RNAcentral's name for it is "ovarian small RNA-33192". The record is from RNAcentral. Lineage: Eukaryota; Metazoa; Arthropoda; Insecta; Lepidoptera; Bombycidae.